This 296-nucleotide long non-coding RNA is filed under the name Carica papaya (papaya). RNAcentral describes it as "long non-coding RNA (CPAP_LNC010986)". Lineage: Eukaryota; Viridiplantae; Streptophyta; Magnoliopsida; Brassicales; Caricaceae. The record is from RNAcentral.
AAACCCUUCGAACCUGUAAAAACUACCCACGAGCCGGCAUGCCUACAUGCCCUCGUACUUGCACACGCAUGACAAUGUAUGCCUGCACGAGCAUGCCAGCACACUGUAGAGGAUAUCUUGUUAGCCUGCAAUGCGCACGGCUCCGCACGCGGGUCAUGUGUUGUGAUCGAUUAACGAACGUGGUUGGCUUGCAUACACGCGGCAUGGUGGCUGGUCCACCACUUGGUUGAUUGACAGCUGUUGAUUGCCCAUGCGAUAUGAUGGCUCCCAUUCACCUAAAAAACUAUUUAAAGGGC